Molecule: long non-coding RNA, 681 nt
Organism: Ficedula albicollis (Collared flycatcher)
Lineage: Eukaryota; Metazoa; Chordata; Aves; Passeriformes; Muscicapidae
Exons: 3
Source: RefSeq, a predicted model, not a curated record
UCGGUCACAGGGGUACGGAAUCACAGCAGCAGCUGGGUUGGGAAGCCCUCUGAGAUCGCUGAAUCGAGCCUAUGACUGAACACAUCCAGCCUUUCGCACACUCCUCCUGCUGGCAGGAGCCACAGGGAUCACGGAGUGCGGCGCCUGGCCCUGCACAGACACGCCAACAAUGCCACCCUGUGCCUGGGAGCGGUGUCCUAACCCUGAAUUCUGUCAGUCGUGGGGCUGUGCCCAUUCCCGGGGGAGCCUGGGCAGUGCCCAGCACCCUCUGGGGGAAGAACUUUUCCUCAUUCCAACCUAAACCUCUCGUGGCUCAGCUUGUGCUGUUCCCUGGCUGCUGUCACCGCGAGUGACCAGGGACAGGCACUGUGUGGGCAAAGAUGCUGUCAUUUCACUGAAGCAGCCUGGCUCUGGUCCUCUGCAGCUCCAAUAAAUACAAGAGAAUAGCAGAGAUGUACCUGCAGGUCUGAAAUUUCUGCACUGAACUCUGCAUUUGGAGAGGAGAUGCAACAUGUGCUGGCAGAGCAGCAACAUUUUUUCUCUGUGCAAGACAAGGAUAUGUCAUGUCAAGAUCAAUAAGCAGGAGAAUUGCCAUCUCCACCUCUGCAGCUGUGUUGAAACCGAGUGUGAAAUGACAGUGAGACGGAUUUGACAGGUUAAAAAAAAGAAUACAAACCAGAG